AGUAACACCAGGCUCAAUGUGCCAUUUCCUUGUCUGUAGCCAUGUCUGUGGGCCCUUGAGUUAGCCACCUGGGUGAGGGCCUGCU
This 85-nucleotide microRNA precursor is filed under the name Homo sapiens (human). RNAcentral describes it as "mir-571 microRNA precursor family". It matches the Rfam family "mir-571 microRNA precursor family". Lineage: Eukaryota; Metazoa; Chordata; Mammalia; Primates; Hominidae. The record is from Rfam by way of RNAcentral.